Perognathus longimembris pacificus (Pacific pocket mouse) is the source of this 88-nucleotide small nucleolar RNA. RefSeq annotates it as small nucleolar RNA SNORD91 family. The transcript has a single exon. Lineage: Eukaryota; Metazoa; Chordata; Mammalia; Rodentia; Heteromyidae. The record is from RefSeq and is a predicted model, not a curated record.
CUUAGGAGCCAAUGAUGUUUUUAUGUCUGAACCUGUCUGAGGCAUCAUAGUGAUGUUGCUUCUGUGUGGUACUGAGGCUUCUCUGUCA